RNAcentral lists this ribosomal RNA (937 nucleotides) under uncultured bacterium. RNAcentral's name for it is "bacterial SSU rRNA". It matches the Rfam family "Bacterial small subunit ribosomal RNA", at positions 12 to 921 of the family's 1533-position model. The record is from RNAcentral.
UUUGAUCCUGGCUCAGAAUUAACGCUGGCGGCAUGCGUAACACAUGCAAGUCGUACGAGAAAGCCCCUUUCGGGGGGCGAGUAAAGUGGCGCACGGGUGAGUAACGCGUGGGUAAUCUACCCCGGUCUGGGGGAUAACGCACCGAAAGGUACGCUAAUACCGCAUGACCCGGCGGGUUUUUGGACCCGUCGGAAAAGGUGGCCUCUUCAUGAAAGCUACCGAACCGGGAUGAGCCCGCGUCCUAUUAGCUUGUUGGUGGGGUAAAGGCCUACCAAGGCGACGAUGGGUAGCUGGUCUGAGAGGACGGCCAGCCACACUGGAACUGGUACACGGUCCAGACUCCUACGGGAGGCAGCAGUGAGGAAUAUUGCGCAAUGGGGGAAACCCUGACGCAGCGAUGCCGCGUGGGUGAAGAAGGCCUUCGGGUCGUAAAGCCCUGUCAAACGGGAAGAACAGUCUGGAGACGAAUAAUCUUCAGGCCUGACGGUACCGUUGAAGGAAGCACCGGCUAACUCCGUGCCAGCAGCCGCGGUAAGACGGAGGGUGCGAGCGUUAUUCGGAUUUAUUGGGCGUAAAGAGCAUGUAGGCGGUCGAUCAAGUCUGAUGUGAAAGCCCGGGGCUUAACCUCGGAAGGGCGUUGGAAACUGGUCGACUUGAGUUCGGGAGAGGAAAGCGGAAUUCCGGGUGUAGAGGUGAAAUUCGUAGAUAUCCGGAGGAACACCGGUGGCGAAGGCGGCUUUCUGGACCGAAACUGACGCUGAGAUGCGAAAGCGUGGGGAGCAAACARGGAUUAGAUACCCUGGUAGUCCACGCUGUAAACGAUGGGCGCUAAGGUGUGGGGGGGUUUUAAUCCCUCCGUGCCGCAGCUAACGCAUUAAGCGCCCCGCCUGGGGAGUACGGCCGCAAGGUUAAAACUCAAAGGGAAUUGACGGGGCCC